Molecule: long non-coding RNA, 190 nt
Organism: Dicentrarchus labrax (European seabass)
Lineage: Eukaryota; Metazoa; Chordata; Actinopteri; Moronidae
Exons: 2
Source: RefSeq, a predicted model, not a curated record
UAGACCGAACUCCUUAUAACAUUAUUUAUUUAUGAGCAAGCACUUGGCGACAGGGGCAAGGAAAAACUGCCUGUUAAAAGGCAGAAACCUAGGACAGAUCCUUCGGCUCUAGGUGGGUGGUCGUCUGUCUCGACCAGUUGGGGUGAGAGAGAGAGAGAGAGAGAGAGAGAGAGAGAGAGAGAGCGAGAGA